This 1376-nucleotide ribosomal RNA is filed under the name uncultured bacterium. Its description in RNAcentral is "bacterial SSU rRNA". It matches the Rfam family "Bacterial small subunit ribosomal RNA", at positions 29 to 1395 of the family's 1533-position model. The record is from RNAcentral.
UUGAACGCUGGCGGUAUGCUUAACACAUGCAAGUCGAACGGAAACGAUACUAGCUUGCUAGUAGGCGUCGAGUGGCGGACGGGUGAGUAACGCGUAGGAAUCUGCCUGAUAGUGGGGGAUAGCCCGAAGAAAUUCGGAUUAAUACCGCAUAAUCUAUUCGUAGUAAAGUGGGGGACUUUCGAGCCUCACGCUAUCAGAUGAGCUUGCGUAAGAUUAGCUAGUUGGUAGGGUAAAAGCCUACCAAGGCUACGAUCUUUAGCUGGUCUGAGGGGAUGAUCAGCCACAUCGGGACUGAGACACGGCCCGAACUCCUACGGGAGGCAGCAGUGGGGAAUAUUGGACAAUGGGGGCAACCCUGAUCCAGCAAUACCGCGUGUGUGAAGAAGGCCUGAGGGUUGUAAAGCACUUUCAAUUGUGAAGAAAAGUUAACGGUUAAUAACCGUUAGCCUUGACGUUAACUUUAGAAGAAGCACCGGCUAACUCCGUGCCAGCAGCCGCGGUAAUACGGAGGGUGCAAGCGUUAAUCGGAAUUACUGGGCGUAAAGCGUGCGUAGGCGGUUUAUUAAGUCAGAUGUGAAAGCCCGGGGCUUAACCUGGGAACUGCAUUUGAAACUGGUCAACUAGAGUAUGGUAGAGGAAAGUGGAAUUUCUGGUGUAGCGGUGAAAUGCGUAGAUAUCAGAAAGGAACAUCAAUGGCGAAGGCAGCUUUCUGGACCAAUACUGACGCUGAGGUACGAAAGCGUGGGUAGCAAACAGGAUUAGAUACCCUGGUAGUCCACGCCGUAAACGAUGAUAACUAGCCGUUGGGGGGAUUUACCCUUUAGUGGCGAAGCUAACGCGUUAAGUUAUCCGCCUGGGGAGUACGGCCGCAAGGUUAAAACUCAAAGGAAUUGACGGGGACCCGCACAAGCGGUGGAGCAUGUGGUUUAAUUCGAUGCAACGCGAAGGACCUUACCUGGUCUUGACAUCCUGCGAACUUUCUAGAAAUAGAUUGGUGCCUUCGGGAACGCAGUGACAGGUGCUGCAUGGCUGUCGUCAGCUCGUGUCGUGAGAUGUUGGGUUAAGUCCCGUAACGAGCGCAACCCCUAUCCUUAUUUGCCAGCACGUCAUGGUGGGAACUAUAAGGAGACUGCCGGUGAUAAACCGGAGGAAGGCGGGGACGACGUCAAGUCAUCAUGGCCCUUACGACCAGGGCUACACACGUGCUACAAUGGGAAGGACAAAGAGCCGCGAAGCCGCGAGGUGUAGCUAAUCUCAGAAACCUUUUCGUAGUCCGGAUUGGAGUCUGCAACUCGACUCCAUGAAGUCGGAAUCGCUAGUAAUCGUAGAUCAGAAUGCUACGGUGAAUACGUUCCCGGGUCUUGUACACACCGCCC